Molecule: ribosomal RNA, 381 nt
Filed under: uncultured bacterium
Lineage: Bacteria
Description: bacterial SSU rRNA
Rfam family: Bacterial small subunit ribosomal RNA
Source: RNAcentral
AAUCAACGCUGGCGGCGUGCCCCAGACAUGCAAGUCGAACGAUUAAACUUUUCCUUCGGGGAAGAUAUAGAGUGGCGCACGGGUGAGUAACACGUAAGUAAUCUACCCUUGGGUGGGGGAAUAACAUCGGGAAACCGAUGCUAAUACCGCAUAAUGCAGCGGCUUCUUAUGAAGACAGUUGUUAAAGCAUUUAUGUGCCUGAGGAGGAGCUUGCGGCAGAUUAGCUAGNGGUAAGGUAAUGGCUUACCAAGGCGACGAUCUGUAGCCGACCUGAGAGGGUGGUCGGUCACACUGACACUGAAUAACGGGUCAGACUCCUACGGGAGGCAGCAGUCGGGAAUUUUGGGCAAUGGGCGCAAGCCUGGCCCAGCAACGCCGCGU